This 254-nucleotide ribosomal RNA is filed under the name uncultured bacterium. RNAcentral describes it as "partial 16S ribosomal RNA". It matches the Rfam family "Bacterial small subunit ribosomal RNA", at positions 524 to 776 of the family's 1533-position model. The record is from RNAcentral.
UACGGGGGGAGCAAGCGUUGUUCGGAUUUACUGGGCGUAAAGGGCGCGUAGGCGGUCAGCACAAGUCAGUUGUGAAAUCUCCGGGCUUAACUCGGAAAGGUCAACUGAUACUGUGCGACUAGAGUGCGGAAGGGGCAACUGGAAUUCUUGGUGUAGCGGUGAAAUGCGUAGAGAUCGGAAAGAACACCAACGGCGAAAGCACUCUGCUGGGCCGACACUGACACUGAGAGACGAAAGCGUGGGGAGCGAACAGG